Long non-coding RNA from Setaria italica (foxtail millet), 3262 nucleotides. RefSeq lists it as uncharacterized. The transcript has 10 exons. NCBI's taxonomy places the organism in Eukaryota, Viridiplantae, Streptophyta, Magnoliopsida, Poales, Poaceae. The record is from RefSeq and is a predicted model, not a curated record.
CGAUUUCUAGGUCUCCUCCUUUCCUCCCAGCCCCGAACACCAGCGGGCCGCCGCCGCCGCACACCCGCGUCGCUCCCUCUCUCCUUCUUCCCGGCGGCGGGGUCGCGGCCUCCUCCCUCCCUCCGGCCGCGGCUCCUCCUCCCUCCCCUCCGGCCGCGGCUCCUCCUCUCCCGGCGCAGGGGCGCGGCCUCCCGGCGCCCCUGUCCUCCCCACCGGCGCCCGCAGCCCUCAGAUCCGGCGGCCGGCAGCGUCGGGGUCGAGGCGAGGGGGCGCGGCCUCCUCUCCCGGCGCGGGGGCUCCUCCCUGCCGGCGGCCGCAGCUCGUCCUCCGCGGCGUCAGCCGCGGGUCCCACGCCCCCCACCUGACACGCCCGCGACCGCGACUCCUGGAGGUCUCCUGUAGCGACCUGGAGGAUUGCGGCGCGUUUACCGUGCUGCGGUGCAGCAGUUGGAUCGGCAAAUGUGGCGUCCAGGCUCUUUCGGAGUACUGCGGUAGACACCUCUGUCGGACCCAAUAUUUGAAGCCAGAUGUGUGGAGAGGUAGGCACCUCUGUCAGACCCAAUAUUUGAAGCCACAUGUGUGGAGAGGUUAAUCACUCCCCUCACCGGCAGUGGAUGCAGCCACACUGCUGCCUGCAAAACAUCUUUAUUGCUUCAACGCAAGGAAGGCUCUAGAAGCAUCUAGAUUGUCUAUGAUUGCUUCUCAUAUAUUUUUAUGCAAGGAAGGCUCUAGAAGCAUUUGGUUUGUCCAUGCAGAUGAUCUUAAUUACCUGGUUAUCAAUUAGCUUAAGCAAAGCUAAUCUCAGGCUUGCCACCCUCACACAACAUCGGGAUGCGUUUUGCACGAGAAGCAACGGCAAGGUAGGCACCUCUGUCAGACCCAAUAUUUGAAGCCACAUGUGUGGAGAGGUUAAUCACUCCCCUCACCGGCAGUGGAUGCAGCCACACUGCUGCCUGCAAAACAUCUUUAUUGCUUCAACGCAAGGAAGGCUCUAGAAGCAUCUAGUUUGUCUAUGAUUGCUUCUCAUAUAUUUUUAUGCAAGGAAGGCUCUAGAAGCAUUUGGUUUGUCCAUGCAGAUGAUCUUAAUUACCUGGUUAUCAAUUAGCUUAAGCAAAGCUAAUCUCAGGCUUGCCACCCUCACACAACAUCGGGAUGCAUUUUGCACGAGAAGCAACGGCAAGGAGAAGAUAGAUGCUAGAGGACAGAUACAAGGACGGGGUCAUUGCAAAGAAAAAGAGCUAGAGGUGAGUGAGCCUACGACCACCAAUUGCUUAUCCCCUAUUACCAAUUGCAGCAGACUUGGACUAAAGGAAUUGCUUGAAGUGAAGACCAGUGAACAAAAGGCUUUACACAACAGAAUUGUUGACCUCUUUCGUUUCGGGAUAAGGCCUGGAAGAAGCAGGGAUUGAACCAGGGCUUGUUCACAGAGCAAAUAUCAAAAGCCUAUGUUGUAUUCAUAUAACUGCAUGUGUAUGUAACCCAUUUGUUUUUAUCCCUCACUAUUUUUGUGCUUUUUCUGGUCAGAAAUCCCAAGUUGACACACUUGCUGCAAGAUUCUCUAGGAGACUCUAAAGCAUUGAUGUUUGUGCAAAUUAGCCCAUCCGAUAGUGAUGUAUCAGAAACCUUGAGUUCAUUAAACAUCGCCAGCCAUGUUCGGCGUAUUGAAUUGGGACCAGCAAAGAAGCAAGUUGAUACUGUUGAACUUCAAAAGACCAACAGAUGAUGAGUUUUAGUUGUGCAUUUUCCUAAGUUAACUUUCAUGACAACUUGCACACUGUGCUAGCAACCUGCUUGAGGCUAGCUUAAUGAUAUGUAAUUUACAUUUUUCCUGCUGAAUGAAUGUAAGCUUGAAAGAACUAAGCAAGAAGUCAGACUUAAGGAUGACUCUUGAGAAAGCUAGAAGAGAACUUAAAAAAUUUCGAGACCAAAGCCAAAGGGAAAGAGUAACUUUGCAAGAACUUGCAAGAAAAGGUAAAAGAGAGGUCAGUUAGAUUCCAGGGCACAUUCUCAAAUGACAUCAGAGAAACAGCAGCAUCAGCUCUCUGGAAAACUAAAGGAGAAAGAAGAAAUGUGUACUGCCCUUCAGCAGAAGAUCGUGGAGUUAGAGAGCAAACUUAGACAGCCGCACCAAUCAGAAUCUGAGGUUGCAGUUCUCAAGCAAAUGAUCGAAGAGAUGGAGCUCAAGUUGAAGGCGACUCCUAUAAAGAUUAAAACAUUUAUACAUUUUAUAUGAUUGUUGCGGAAUUAAAGGUGCUCCUUGAACGGGACCGAGCAAGGGAUGAGCAAGGGUUUGAACAUACCUCAAUGCUUACGACGGCCACGACGGCCACGACGGCGGGUUGCUGACGCCUCCUUACGCUCCUGACGAUCCCUAGCCUCGCGCUCCCUCGCUUCCCUGGCCUUACUCUCUUCGAUCCGGUGCCUCUCCUCAUGGCCGCGGAUGAAGAUGCGGUCGUACACGCCUUCCUUGAGACGGCAAGGGCGGCACCCCCACCACACCAUCUCGCCGCCGAGCACCCCCACCCCCACCGCGCGCGCUUCUCUCCCCAUUGAUCCCGCCGCCGCCGCCGCCGCUCGCUGAGGAAGGAGUUGAAAGAGGAUUUUCGGGUGGUAUAGAGGGUUUGUUUUAUCAGUAUACUCCUGUUAGGAAAAAGCCCAUGGGCCAGCAAUGAAUUGGGCUUCCAAAUCACUGCGGCCUGCUAACAACGAAUGAAUGCGGCCCACCUCCCCGCCGCCGGCGCCGGCGCCCGCGCGCGGCAGCAGCAGCAACCCCACCAGCAGAGAGAGAGAGAGAGAGAUCUGCGACUGGGCAGUGAUGGUGUCCGACGGGUACGAUCCGAUCUGGAGCGGCCGAUUAAUUAGAACGGAGGGGGGAGGAGGCUUCGCUGAUUAGCGUCGUGAUUGGAUCGUGUCAGCGUGGCACGAGGAUGAGAGGAGAGGAGGUGCUCUGCUCGGCGCAGGGAAUUUUCGGGCCGGGUGUUUCAGGGGUAAAAAUGUCAGACCACCAUGGAGAAGUAGUAGAAAAUUCCACCUAUUAUAUGGAUAAAAAAAUUGUGGCAAGAGCAAAUACGAAUAGGAAUUUUUUUUUUUGGACGAAGUCUAUCAAAUGGGAUGGCUUUUCACGCGCGGGAUUGCGCGACGCCCUCCACGUGCACGAAGAGGUCCAAAAGCAUUUCAAUAUGCGCAAUAUUUGUCGGUGGAUUAGAUUGUAAUUGACCUAAAUUUGAAUAUUUAGACUAUGGAUAAGAGGUGUUAAACUUUA